Molecule: long non-coding RNA, 246 nt
Filed under: Elaeis guineensis (African oil palm)
Lineage: Eukaryota; Viridiplantae; Streptophyta; Magnoliopsida; Arecales; Arecaceae
Description: long non-coding RNA (EGUI_LNC039950)
Source: RNAcentral
CUACCUCCAGGCUUUGCGAACAUCACCCUUUUUUUCUAGAUUUUUUUCUUUUGUAAAUUGGAUGCAUUAAUUAAACUAAACAUGAAUAAAUACAUCUAUGGAAAUCAAAAAAUUAAAUAUUUAAAAUUUAAAUUGGAAGUUCCAUCAAAGAAGUCUAAAAAAUUGAUCCUAUAUGGUCAACUACAUAAGAUGCCAUCCAAUCAGCAUCACUAUUGGCCUCUUUAUAAACAUGUGAAAUAGUCCAAG